Molecule: ribosomal RNA, 253 nt
Filed under: uncultured bacterium
Lineage: Bacteria
Description: partial 16S ribosomal RNA
Rfam family: Bacterial small subunit ribosomal RNA
Source: RNAcentral
GACGUAGGGGGCCAGCGUUGCUCGGAAUUACUGGGCGUAAAGGGCGCGUAGGCGGAUGUCUUAGUCAGAUGUGAAAGCCCAGGGCUCAACCUUGGAACUGCCUUUGAUACUGGACAUCUUGAGUACGGGAGAGGUGAGAGGAACUCCGAGUGUAGAGGUGAAAUUCGUAGAUAUUCGGAAGAACACCAGUGGCGAAGGCGACUCACUGGCCCGUUACUGACGCUGAGGCGCGAAAACGUGGGGAGCAAACAGG